UAGCCGUAAACGAUACUCGCUAGGUGUCGGCCACGGUGCGACCGUUGUCGGUGCCGUAGGGAAGCCGUGAAGCGAGCCACCUGGGAAGUACGGCCGCAAGGCUGAAACUUAAAGGAAUUGGCGGGGGAGCACCACAACGGGUGGAGCUUGCGGUUUAAUUGGAUUCAACGCCGGAAAUCUUACCGGGACCGACAGCAACAUGAAGGCCAGGCUGAAGACUUUGCCGGGUUAGCUGAGAGGAGGUGCAUGGCGUAGUCGUGU
This 261-nucleotide ribosomal RNA is filed under the name uncultured archaeon. RNAcentral describes it as "partial 16S ribosomal RNA". It matches the Rfam family "Archaeal small subunit ribosomal RNA", at positions 748 to 1009 of the family's 1478-position model. The record is from RNAcentral.